CUUGCUUGCAGCUCCCGAGCGCCAUGAUCUCCUCGAAAGCUUUCGUGGCUUGCUACCAAAGCGGAAGUUUGAUGACUACGAUUUGGCUACCAUUAGCAGCGCGGAUUCAGGUGAUAUCCAGGAGAGCCAUGAUAAGUUGAAAGCUGCCACAGAUUUCAUUCAAGAGGUGAAAGCUCGUCUCGACGCCCGCGAUUAUCAGCUCUUCAUUGAAGGUCUUAAAUUUGACGAAUACGUGCCUACUGCAAAAGCGCGGAAGAGGUUUAAAGCUACAAGCCCGACAUCCAGCUGCUCAUCAACAUUUGCAACAAUUGAGG
Long non-coding RNA from Selaginella moellendorffii, 314 nucleotides. RefSeq lists it as uncharacterized. The record is from RefSeq and is a predicted model, not a curated record. NCBI's taxonomy places the organism in Eukaryota, Viridiplantae, Streptophyta, Lycopodiopsida, Selaginellales, Selaginellaceae. The transcript has 5 exons.